This 505-nucleotide ribosomal RNA is filed under the name uncultured bacterium. Its description in RNAcentral is "partial 16S ribosomal RNA". It matches the Rfam family "Bacterial small subunit ribosomal RNA", at positions 28 to 507 of the family's 1533-position model. The record is from RNAcentral.
GACGAACGCUGGCGGCGUGCCUAAUACAUGCAAGUAGAACGCACAGUUUAUACCGUAGCUUGCUACACCAUAGACUGUGAGUUGCGAACGGGUGAGUAACGCGUAGCUAACCUGCCUGGUAGCGGGGGGUAACUAUUGUAAACGAUAGCUAAUACCGCAUAAUAUUAAUUAUUGCAUGAUAAUUAAUUGAAAGGUGCAAUUGCACCACUACUAGAUGGACCUGCGGUGUAUUAGCUAGUAGGUGAGGUAACGGCUCACCUACGCGACGAUACAUAGCCGACAUGAGAGGGUGAUUGGCCACACUGGGAGGGAGACAAGGCCCAGACUACUACGGGAGGGAGCAGGAGGGAAACGUCGGCAAUGGACGGAAGUCUGACCGAGAAACGCCGCGUGAGGGAAGAAGGUUUUCGGAUCGGAAAGGUCUGUUGUAAGGGAAGAAAGGGUGUGAGAGUGGAAAGUUCACACUGUGACGGUAUCUUACCAGAAAGGGACGGCUAACUACGUG